Canis lupus familiaris (dog) is the source of this 1570-nucleotide long non-coding RNA. RefSeq lists it as uncharacterized. The transcript is spliced from 4 exons. Lineage: Eukaryota; Metazoa; Chordata; Mammalia; Carnivora; Canidae. The record is from RefSeq and is a predicted model, not a curated record.
CUCUUCCCAACUGUCACUCUGAGCUGAGCAUUUCAAAGUUGAUUUUGAGGCAAUUCUCAGCUCUCUACCUAGCGUCUUUGAAGAUGGGCAAUUGAUGCUGCUGCGAUGGCUGUAGCCUACAUCCGAAGGAAAGGGAGACCUCCUGAAGAGGAAAUGUGUCCACUCUCUGCCUCAUUUAUCUGAAUACAACCAGCACAGGCGAAUCCCAGGUGGAUCAGUGUCCAAGUGACAGCCUUCGUGAUCUUUUGGAAAUGAAAUGCCAGGAGAAGGGGGUAUUUUCUCUUAAGGAAGGUUUGCAACUGUGGUCAAUGUCUAGUUGAAGGACUCUAACUCCCAAAGCCCAGGUAAGGUCUGAGGAUCUCAAGGAAGAACAGGUGUUGACAGUGAUUCACAACGUGGCCUCAGCUGGAGUAGCAGGAACAUGGGGCCCCACUCUAUAAUCAUCUCCUCUCCAAGCUUGUGUCUCUAAGGAUUGGAUAUCGAGAACACAAUUACUGAAGAUGAAGAAUACUUAGCCUUGUCCUGCUCUUCAACUGGAGAUUUUUAUGAAGGAAGACAAAUGUGAAAAAAUGCCGUGAAGCACCGCUGAAACGGACCUUAUCAGGUCUAUGUAAAAAGAGCAAAUUAAACUCUAGGAGGUUCAAACUUUAACCAACUUAAAAAAAUUCAGAAUUGGACAGAAUAAGAAAGCUACUUAAACUGACUCCUCAGACAUCUCCUGGAAGAAGUCAGUUAUUGGAAAAAGGUAUGGACCCAAGACUUUCACCACAGGCAAACGAUGAUAGAUAAUGGGCAGCUUCCACCCAAGAUAAUGGGACAAGAUUAUCAUCUAAUUCAUUUCUAUUUUAUAUUAGCUCAGUUAAAAUAAUUCUUCUCACUUUCCACAGACCCCUUGUGGCCUUACAGCCAGAAUGACCCUUUUCUUCUUUUCAUACUUGCUAUACUAUUUAUAAUCAUUGUUAGGUCAGAACAUAGCCAUGCAGGUGCCAUGACUACCUGUUUUUCUGCCUAUGCCAUGCAUCACGGAAGUUCAUGGUAAAUCCCUCUGGAAAAUGUGGAUUUCAUCCAAUGAAAUGAAUCACCAAGGCUGGAAUUUCCAACUUAUUAGUGAAUUUCCAUAUGAGACCACUUUUGUUUGUUCAGACACAGGACUCAGAGAAAUUACUAUUCAUGCGAAAGAUUAGGAAAUUGUUCCCAUGGGUGGAAAUUGCAGAAAUCAGGAUGCCGAGAAAAACAGCAACCUGUCAUUUUGGCAAAUGUUACUGGUCACGUCCCAGAUGGAAUACCAAUCAGUCAAAUCCUAUUAGGAUGAAGAGUGGUGGAUGGUCACAUACCCUAGAUUUCCUGUUGGCUGGAUGUGGGGACAUCAGUGUCAUUGUUAACAACUUCUGUACUUGGACCAAUAAAGUCAAGAAGGCUGAACAAGCUGUGAAGUGCAUAAUGGAAGAAUCUGUCUAGCUUUCAGUUUGAUUCUUAUGGCUUCCAGGAUUUGUUCUUUUUAUCUGGCUUGGGCAAAUGGGGUUCCUCAAUUGAGGUACUUUUUUUUAGGUACCUUAACUUGUUCUUUGUU